This 88-nucleotide microRNA precursor is filed under the name Aotus nancymaae (Ma's night monkey). Its description in RNAcentral is "miRNA (ENSANAG00000008536.1)". Lineage: Eukaryota; Metazoa; Chordata; Mammalia; Primates; Aotidae. The record is from RNAcentral.
UAUUAGGUUGGUGCAAAAGUAAUUGCAGUUUUUGCAUUAUUUUUAAUGGGAAAAACUGUAAUUACUUUCACACCCACCUUAAUGUUUA